RNAcentral lists this ribosomal RNA (492 nucleotides) under uncultured bacterium. RNAcentral's name for it is "partial 16S ribosomal RNA". It matches the Rfam family "Bacterial small subunit ribosomal RNA", at positions 29 to 507 of the family's 1533-position model. The record is from RNAcentral.
AGUGAACGCUGGCGGUAGGCCUAACACAUGCAAGUCGAACGGCAGCACAGUAAGAGCUUGCUCUUACGGGUGGCGAGUGGCGGACGGGUGAGGAAUACAUCGGAAUCUACUUUUUCGUGGGGGAUAACGUAGGGAAACUUACGCUAAUACCGCAUACGACCUACGGGUGAAAGCAGGGGAUCUUCGGACCUUGCGCGAUUGAAUGAGCCGAUGUCGGAUUAGCUAGUUGGCGGGGUAAAGGCCCACCAAGGCGACGAUCCGUAGCUGAUCUGAGAGGAUGAUCAGCCACACUGGAACUGAGACACGGUCCAGGCUCCUACGGGAGGCAGCAGUGGGGAAUAUUGGACAAUGGGCGCAAGCCUGAUCCAGCCAUACCGCGUGGGUGAAGAAGGCCUUCGGGUUGUAAAGCCCUUUUGUUGGGAAAGAAAAGCAGCAGGUUAAUACCCCGCUGUUCUGACGGUACCCAAAGAAUAAGCACCGGCUAACUUCGUG